UACGUAGGGGGCUAGCGUUGUCCGGAAUCACUGGGCAUAAAGCGCACGUAGGCGGCCAAGUCAGUCGGUUGUGAAAGCCCUCGGCUCAACCGAGGAAGUGCUACCGAUACUGCUUGGCUUGAGGUCCGGAGGGGAGAGUGGAAUUCCCGGUGUAGCGGUGAAAUGCGCAGAUAUCGGGAGGAACACCAAUGGCGAAGGCAGCUCGCUGGGACGGUACUGACGCUGAGACGCGAAAGCGUGGGGAGCGAACGGG
This 253-nucleotide ribosomal RNA is filed under the name uncultured bacterium. RNAcentral describes it as "partial 16S ribosomal RNA". It matches the Rfam family "Bacterial small subunit ribosomal RNA", at positions 524 to 776 of the family's 1533-position model. The record is from RNAcentral.